This 490-nucleotide ribosomal RNA is filed under the name uncultured bacterium. RNAcentral's name for it is "partial 16S ribosomal RNA". It matches the Rfam family "Bacterial small subunit ribosomal RNA", at positions 30 to 507 of the family's 1533-position model. The record is from RNAcentral.
AUUGAACGCUGGCGGCAGGCUUAACACAUGCAAGUCGAGCGGUAGCACAGGGGAGCUUGCUCCCUGGGUGACGAGCGGCGGACGGGUGAGUAAUGUCUGGGAAACUGCCUGAUGGAGGGGGAUAACUACUGGAAACGGUAGCUAAUACCGCAUAACGUCGCAAGACCAAAGAGGGGGACAUUCGGGCCUCUUGCCAUCAGAUGUGCCCAGAUCGGAUUAGCCAGUCGGUGAGGUAAUGGCUCACCUAGGCGACGAUCCGUAGCUGGUCUGAGAGGAUGACCAGCCACACUGGAACUGAGACACGGUCCAGACUCCUACGGGAGGCAGCAGUGGGGAAUAUUGCCCGAUGGGCGCAAUCCUGAUGCAGCCAUGCCGCGUGGGUGAAGAAGGCCUUCGGGUUGUAAAGCACUUUCGGCGAGGAAGAAGAUGGUGACCUUAAUACUGUCAUCAAUCGACGUUACUCGCAGAGGAAGCACCGGCUAACUCCGUG